RNAcentral lists this long non-coding RNA (34113 nucleotides) under Gossypium barbadense (sea-island cotton). Its description in RNAcentral is "long non-coding RNA (GBAR_LNC011656)". Lineage: Eukaryota; Viridiplantae; Streptophyta; Magnoliopsida; Malvales; Malvaceae. The record is from RNAcentral.
UUUUUUUAGAGUAAAAUAUGGAGAGAGUUUGAUUCAGCACAAAAAUCUAAUGAAGUUUUAGCCUUUUAUAGGCAUUCAAUAUGGAGGAAUUUUGGAAAUAUCCAUGAAAUAAGGAUACAAGAUCUACAAAUCAGGAUAUGUGUCCUUUUAAAUUAGAUUUUCGUGAAUAUUUGCUGAGGAAAGUGUUGGGCCAAAAUAUCCGCAGGCCCAACUUGCUCCCAUUGGACCAUUUGUAUCUAUAUACAUUAGGAUCCCGAUUCAUGGGUCUCUCAUAGUUCUAUGAUUCAGAGUAUCAUUUCCUAUUUAAUCCCUUUGAAUUUCAUAUUCAAAGUUGCGAUCAGAUAUGGGCCCGAUCGGUCCGGACAUUUCGCGUCGCCCACCUCAUGCGGGUGCACGUCCAAACCCCGAUGGGUUUGGAUCUGCACCCCCUGCGCUCGAGUCAGGGUUUUAAACUUAGUCAUUCAAUCACCCUUCAAGUGGGUUCUCAUAUAUAUACAUAUCUCACACUUGGUAUUUAACCAAUGUGGGAUCUAAGCUUCUCUUUUCCUCAACAAAUAUUCACAAAUAGCUUACUUUGAACACUAAUUUCUUAUUCAUCACUCAACCAUUUUGAGCAUAUGAUAUACUGUUGUAAAGGUCUCAUGCAGUAGAAUAUAAAACCAUAAUUUUAUGAUUCAACUCUCCACCUUUAUCAAUCAAGAAUAUGCCUCAAAGUUCCCAAAAAUUACAAUUUUUUCCAACAACUGUGAGAAGGAGUUUUGGCUAAAUAGGAUUGUUGGUGUCUUUGUGUCCCUUUACCCUGGUGUUAAGAGGGUAUUUAUAGAGAGAAGUAUGUUGGGCAUAGGCCUCAAUCAUCUAGUAUGUAUGCUCUAAUAGAGUGGUGGAUGCCAGUUUAAGGCAUUAUUGGAGUUGACUUGAAAGGACUAGAUAAGGGGUUUGUCAAAUGUGAUGGAUUGAUGGGUGUUGUCCAAGGUCUUUCCAGAUAUAUCUUUUGUAGAUUUUAUGUGCCUACUAAGUAUGAAAUUUAGGUGAAGGCGUGACACUAAGUGGAACAGCUCAUUUUUCAGUGGUCUCAAAAACGGUGGUUUUGGAGUCUCAUUUUCGACAAGUGAGUCCAUAAUAAUAUUUACGAUGUUAGUAUAAAUUUUAAUUAAAUUUUGGUUCUUUAAUUUUUUUUCAAUUGGACAUUUAAUUAAGAUAUAAGGACUAAACUAUAAAAGUGGUAAAUGUUAAUCGCUAUGGAUUUUUAAUUAAUUAAAGGACCAAUUGAGCAAUUUAAGCCUUCCAAUUAUGUUAAACGAUAGUGGGGAUGAGUUCUAAACCAUAAAAAGUGUUAAUUAAGCUUAAGUUUAAUUAAUUAUAAGUUAAUUAAGUUAAUUAUAAUUAAUUAAUAAACUAAUUAAAAUGUAUAAGCCAAAUUAAAAGAAAAUAAAAAUCAUUUCUCUUCAUCUUUCUUCUCCGGAAGAACUAUGGUUUCAAACAUUUCAAUCUUUAAUCCUUCGAUUGGAAAGCAAUCUCAAAUCCAUUUCUUGUAAUUUCUCUUCAUCUUUCUUCUCCAGAAGAACUAGGGUUUCAAACAUUGUGAUGUCAUUUUGAAACUUUGAAAAUGUCGCAAUUCCGUCCUAAUGCGAUUUCGGGUUAAUUCUAAAGCAUACGUAGGUUUGUAUAAGACUCGAGAAAGGUUGUAUAUAAUGAUUAUGAAUUAAAAUGGUUAAGAUUGUAUGAUUUCUGUUUAAUUUGAAUGUUAGUUUUUUAUAGUUGCCCCGACAACGAUUAUAAUAUCUCGUAACUCGGACCUGACGAUCGGAUCAAGCGAGGGAUGUUACAGCAAGUCCAUUUAGUGAAGCAAUGGCAAGGUUGUGUUGCCAACUCAUUAGAGGAUGAUUAUUCUAAUGAGAAAGCUUUAGAAGUAUAAUAAUAUCCAAAAAUGUCUCUUCUCACCUUAAAAAAAAAGUGUUUUAUUUCAUUUUAUUUUAUUUUUUUAAUAUUUUAUAACCAAUGCAAGUUGCAAGCAUCCAAAGUCCUUGGAAGAUUAUCUAAUAUCAAAGCACUACACUAAGUUUCAAAUCCAAUUAAUAAGUCAAACAAUUUUUGGUUUCUGCAAAUUACUAGAAAAUAGGAAUAAAUAGUCUUUAAAAUUAUUUUAAACACUUUAGUAAUGUUAAAAUUGCCUUUUAAUAUAUCUACAUCCUAGCUGUAGGAGAAAUAAAGAGUGGGAAUUGGGAAUUAAUAAAGGCAAAAUGGAAAAUUUAUCAACUCUUUUGUUAUGAAUAAAGUCAUUAUGAGAUCGUUAUUUGAAAAGCAGUUGUUUUUAUAUAAUAUCAAAUUAGACUUUUCAUUUUUCAUUAAAAAUUUAAUUUCCAUUUUUAUAUAAUUUUUUAUUAUAAUUGUGAUUCGAUAAUGUUAGAGAUCGACCUGAUUAAGCAACGAACAAGUACAAAUAAUGGAAGAAAUUGAUAAAUUGAACACAUAAAUUUAACGUAAAAAAACUCAUCCAAAUAGAUAAAAAAAACCACCAGCAAAGAUAAUUUUACUAUAAUGGAAAAAGAACGAAGAGUACCAAAGAUGAAGAUAAAAACUAAACCCCAAAAUCUGGAAAUAAAGAACCCUCAAAACGUAAACAUAAAAUUCUCCAAAAGUGUUACGAGUUAUAACCUUUAAUGAGUGUAUUUUCUAAGGUUGUAAAAGAGUUUAUUUAUAAACUAAAUUCGUAGGUCAAAUAGAUCAUGCUAAUAAAUGCUAAAUAUAUUAUACUAAUAAAUACUAAAUCUUCUAGAAAGAAUGUAUUUUGUUUAACUUGUUUUACAAGCAAUCUCUUAUUUUAUUUAACAGGAAAUUGGGUCACACAACUCUAACAAUAUCCACUUGACACGAAUUCUCACAACGCUAUCUUUGUCAAAGCCCACCAUGGGCCUAUCUUGAACUAUGCAGGGAAUUAACUGAGUCGAAUCUAUGCAUAGAAGCUAGAAGACUUCUAGCCUUCAACUUGUGCACUGCCAAAACAAAACUAACCCGGGUCUAAUUUUCACGAACACAGUGCCCUAACUUUUCAUAAUCUGCAUCCAAAAGAGAACCUCUGUUCAAUGAAACGGUCAUACGUUUUUCCCUCCUAUGACCAAGUUGCCUUUGAUCCAAACGAGUUGACUUCGACUCCAUAACAGACGAGUGACAUCCGGUUUCAUCGAUUACUGUAGAACCUUCUAGAAUAUAAAGACUAUCAGUCAUUUUACCUUUUAUCAAAAUGAGAGCCCCAUGAGAUACCUUAAUGUUGCUCAAAUCGAUGUUUAUUUUGCAACCUUUUGAGUCUAAAAUACUCAAGAAAAUGAUAUUCUUUUGUAAAUCAGGUACAUACCUGACAUCUAGGAGUGUCCUAAUCAUCUCAUCGUGCAUCAUAAUUUUAACAAUACCAAUACAGAUUACCUUACUGGAUGAAUCAUUUCUCAUGCGCACAACUCCACUAUCAACCAAACUGUAUGUGGAGAACCAUUCUCUGUUGGGACACAUGUGGAAAGAUCAUCCUGAAUCUAGGAUCCACUCAUACGCAAGCUCAGAGCUAUCGCUUGUUGACACUAAUAAGAAAUCAUUUCUUCGAUGCAACCAAAAUGGAACCUUCCUCGUUACUUUUAGCAUCCUUUUUAUUUCUCAAUUUAUAACAAUCUACUUUGACGUGACCUAACUUCUUACAAUAGCGACACAUUUUGUCUCAUUUCUUUGAUGUAACCAAAAUGGAACCUUCCUUAUCUGCCUUGCUAUCUAAACCAAACUCAUUUUUGAGUUUGUCUUUACUCAACAACUGACCCUUCACAUCCUCGAACGACAGUUUGUCUCUACCAUAAAUCAAGGUUCCUUAAGACUUGUAUGAAGAGGGUAAAAAGUACAAUAAUAGCAUAGUCUGAUCUUCAUCGUCAACCUUAACCUUAACAUUCUUUAAAUCAUUCAAAAAAGUAAUAAAUUGACAAAUGUGAUCUCUAAAAAACUCAUCCUCGUUCAAGCAAAACGUAAAUAGACGUUGUUUAAACACUAAACGGUUAGCCAAAGACUUAGUUGCAUAAAGACUUUCUAACUUAUUCCGUAAGACGGAUGAGGGUUUCCCCAUCAAUACCUCCUACAAUACCCUAUUUGUGAGACAUAAUUGGAUUGUAAUGCACUGAAUAAUUUAUUUUUAUUUCUGUAAAUACUUGACACAAAUGUGUAUCUGUUUCAGUGGCUAAGUGUUCUGGGUGUGUGUUUGAGGUCUUGGGUUCAAGCCCCACUUUUGACAAUUUUGUUAUUUUAGAUCCUAGCCUUAUCCUUGUUAAAUGGGCUUAUAUAAAAUUGUCUGUUAAUCCAUAUUAGAAUGAGUCUAUUGGAUCGAGUGGUAAAGGGGUUAGUAUAUUGGAGGUCUUGUGUUCGAAUUCUUAUGUUAGUGAGGGUGUUAAUUUUUGUUCGGUUGUCUGAUAGAGUUUCAGUUGAGCUAAAAUUUUGAUGUAGUUGUGAGUUAGUGGGUUAGUGGGAGAGAAAUAGGGGAUUUCAAAUUUUUUUUUUCAAAUUUCAUUUUUCUCUCUCCUCCAGGAAUUCUGAGGUGAGUUUCUUCCUCCAUUCUUUCUCCUGGCUAAUCUGUGCAAAUUUUCUCUUUGCUUCUCGUGUUAAACCUGAAUUCUGGUGCUUGUCGUGGGAUAUAGGUAAUAGGGUUACUUUCGUUUUAAGUAAUAUUUUUGGUAAACUGUUUGAUAUAUCAUCUCCGUAGUUACGUUUUUGGCGUAGAUAGGGGUUUGAUUACUGCAAAAUUUUUGUAGGAGAAGGCGUUGGUGAAAGAGUUUCGCUCUGAUGGUCUAAACCGUGUUGAUAUUUGUUCUUGUCGACAGUAAGUUAUGUGCGUUAUUUCGGGAUUAUGUGUCGAUUCGUAAAUUGAUUGCUACUUGGUCAAUGGGAUGUUGUUUCUUAUGUUUUGGAGGGCUCGGGAUUGCUGUAGUAUUUAAAAUGAACUAGGUGUGUUCCCAAAACGCAAAAAAUCGGGUUGACUUAACUUGCAAAUUUAUUUUAUUUAACUUGACUUGCAAGCAAUCUCUUAUUUUAUUUAACAGGAAUUUGGGUCACACAACUCUAACAAAUAAUUAUAUUUAAUUUUAUUUUAUAAAUGUUAACAAAUAUGUAUAUUAUAAACCAUUAUUUUAUAAAUAUUAUAAUUGGUCACAAUUAUAAAAAAAUAGAGAUGAUAAUUGAAUUUUUGAAAAAAAUAAUAAAGGUGAGUAUAUUUAAUUACAAAAUAAAAUAAAAUAAAAUGGUGAUCCGCCUCAAGGAGGUAAAAAGCCACAAGACAUUACCGAUAGGCGUUAAGCCCAUAUAUUUUGAAUUGUGCUGAACGGGUCCAAGGGCAAAAACAGUCUUAUCUUUUAAUCCAAGUUAAUUUAAUUACAAUAUUAUAUUUUAUCCACUAAAAUUCUUUUAUAAUACUUCAUGCUCACUUAGAAUUAGAACAAAAAUUAAAGCAACACUCUCAAGUUAUUAAAAAAAUUAAGGGUAAACUAUUAAAAUAGUUACUUUUAUUUACUUCAAAUUACAUUUUAAUCAUUUAUGUUUGAAAUGUUACGUUUUUGUCACUUACAUUAACGUGUUGUAACAUUUUAGUCACUCAACCAUUAAUUAUCGUUAACGGUGUAACAAUAAGCUGACGUGGCAUGUUGAAUAUCAUUUCAAACAAAAAAAUUAGGUUAAAUUAUACAAUUAGUCCCCAUGUUUUUUCGUUUUAAGCAAUUUAUUUAUUUUUCUUUUAUGUUCUUUUAACUUUCUUUUUUAUCUUUUUUUCUAUUCUCUUAUGCUUGUCUCUCUGUUUUCCUCCCUUCUCCAUCCUUUUUAAUGCAGUUUUUCUAUAUUUUAGAUAUGUUGAAACUUUUUUAUGUUUAUGAAAACAGAAAAGGCGAAAGCUGAAACCAAAAUAAAACUUGCUUCGCAUAUUCACACCCCACAAUUACAAGCUCUCAUCGUCCAUCAUCGCUUUAACGAACCAAUUUGGAUCUCUCAAUUGCCGAGUCCACAAGCUCGCCUCACUCGAACACCUCGCCAGUUGCUACUUAUGGCAGUCCAUCCUCAACAAAGUUUCUCAAGCACGUUCCCUUAACCUCCUAACCAACCCCCACGACCACUUUAUCUAUCUUACCUACAGUAUUCCACUCUCUUGAAACUAUGUUGUUUCAUGGAUUCUUAAAACGAGCUCUACACUUUUAAUGACUAAAACAACCACUAUACAAAACUUACCCUCAACUUUACCCAAACUAGUUUGGUUCCAUGCUCCCUUUCUCUCUUUGAUUCAUCCAUGUUCGGUUUCCAAUCAAGCUUGCUUGGAAAUAUUCAAGAAGAUUUAGAUCAAAUUUAUCAUUUGCUUAAUUUUAUUCGUUAGAAAUUAAAAGAAAAUGAAAGGAGUAAUCUACAUGAUUCUAUAAAAGUUUGGAAAUGCAAAAUUUUUGUUUUAAAUAUAAAGAAUUCAAUUUAUGUUUUGAUUUGAUUAAGGAUAUGAUUUUUUUUUAUAUUGAUUAGUUAGAUCCAAUUUUAGUUUCAAAAUUAGGUUAUAUCUAAUCGAUGUGUGAUUAAGAAUGAUUGAUAUUUGGUUUUGAGUGAAAUUCAAUUUAGGAAUUAUGUGAAAGAAAUAACGACUUUGUUUAUUUGGUGGGUAAAGAUUAUGUUUGUACAGUGAAGAAUAUGAGAAGAGAUAAAAAUAAAGGGAAGAAUAAAAGGAAAAUAAAGAAAAAAAUUAAAAUUUUCAAAACAUAAAAGUAUAGGUACUAGUUUUAACAAAUGAAAAAUAUAGAAAACUAUAUUAAAAGAAAUGGAGAAGAGAGAAAAACAGAGGGAGAAGGAGAAUGGAAAAAAAAGUUCAAAGAACAUAAAAGAAAAAAAUUUAAAUUGCUCAAGACGAAAAAUAUAGGGACCAAUUGUAUAAUUUAGCCUAAAAUUUUCGUUUGAAAUGAUGAUUUAAUGGGUCACGUCAACUUACCAUUACACCAUUAAUGACAAUUAACAUUUAGUGACUAAAAUAUUACAAUACGAUAACGUAAAUGACUAAAACGUAACAUUUCAAAUCUAACUAAAAUGUAACCUGAGACAAACAAAAGUGACUAUUUUAAUAGUUUACCCAAAAAUUAAAUUAAAACUAAGUAUCCCAAGGACUAUAAAUAAUAAAGGAUAAACUUUCAUUUGUAACUUCAAAUAUGGAUAUAAAUUUUAGGAAAUUAAAAGUUUAAAUAAUACGAUAAAAUAUAUUUAUAAUUGAUCAACUAUAUUUAUAAUUUUAACUUUUUUAAAAAUAUUUUACAGUUAUUAAAUAUCACAAUAUAUAUUUUAUAAUAAAUGACAAUAUAUAUCAAGCGCAGUGGCGGAGCCAGAAAAUUCUUUUUGGGGCUAAAAUUAAAUUGUAUAUUUUUACGAUAGUAAAAAUGUAAUUUCAUCAUUUUAAUAGUCUAUAUCUUUAUAAUUUUUAAAAAGUUAAAUCAAAUUUUUAUCAUUUUUGGGAGGGUAAAGUGUAAUUUUACCAUUACUAAUUUAAAAUUUUAUAAAUUAUAAAGAGCCUAAAUUAAAAAUCUACCAUUUUAAAGGGCGCAUGGCCUCCAGGGUCUCUUAGUGGCUCCGCCACUAAUUAGGAAAGGGUGUAGAAUUUUUGUAGGGAGGUCAAAAUUUAAUUAUAAAAUUUUGAGAGGUCAAAACAUAAUUUUACCAUUUAUAAAUUUACAAUUUCAUCAAUUUUUAAGGGAUUAAAAAUAAUUUUUUUAUUUUUAAAAGGCCAAAGUACAAUUUUUAAUACUUAUUGGUGUUUUAGUAAGUAUUUGUAUCCCAUCAUCAAUAUCUUUAUCAAGUUAAUUGAGUUCAUAAGUAAAAAAAAAAAUAGAAUUUGAUAAUGAAGUCUGUUGGUCUGGUAUAAUAAUUUUUAUUCUAUUACAAUUAUAAUGAAUUUUAUAAUGAGCGAAACUGCAAAAAUGUGAGUAUUCAUAAAUAUAAAAAUUAGAAUUUGACAAUGAAGUAUCUUGAUUUGGUGUAAUAAUUUUUAUUUUAUUUCUGUUAUAAUGAAUUUUAUAGUGAAAGAAAAAGAAUUUGAUAAAGAAGUCUUCUAGUUUGGUCUUGAUUAUACUUGAGUAGAAAGGGUGUUAUGAUUCUAUACCACUCAUCAACCAAAAAUUGGAUGUAUAUAACAUGAUAAUGGAAGUGUAUUAUUGAUACUUACUAUACCCAUCAAAUGAAAAUCACCACUUAAAAAUGAUAUAGAAAUAAAUAUGUUUGCUCUUUUAUUAUUCACCGGUUUUAUCAAGGGGAGUAUUAAGGUUAAUAUUCAUAAAUUCUUAUCCAAUUUUAGCUCCAAGGAUAGAUCAAUAAACCUAUAUUGGAACACUAAAUAUACAAAAAGAGUGGUUUGUUUCGAUGCAGUCUCUAGAAAUAACCAGAUUGUGAUAUUGGGAUUAGAAUUACAUCAGGAAGUAGUAUGCAUGAUUUUAAUUACACAUUAUUUAUUGUUGGUAGUGAAUGAAAUUUCAAAACAUAUAAUUACCUGUUGAAAAAGAUGAUGAUUAUUUGGUGAGUAUCUAGUCUUAUGGAAGAUGAUGCUGCUUGGGAAUACAAAAUAUUGGUAAUUGAUUUGGACCGAAAUUCCUCAAAGCAGUCCCUUUGAUUAUGGACUUUAGAUUGGAUUGUGGUUCUGUUGAUAAGCUAUCAUAGAGUCCAUAUUUAUUUCAUAUGUUAAUAUCAUAUUCUAUUACUCUUAUUGCAUUACUAUUUUAUUGAGAUUGUAUUAGAUCUUCUAUUAUAAGCAAAUCUCAAAAUCAAUGUCUAUAUAUUUAAGAGACUUGCCUAGGAAUAUUUUUGUAAAAGUGUUAUUUUUAAAGUAAAACCAGUUGUUGUGAGUUUUACUUUUUAUGAUCACAAAGGGUGUUAACAGUGGUAAGAGUCUUGUAUCAUUAAAGUGCAAGGGUGAGGAAAAUGAUCAUUGUGUGUGUGAUUCAGUAGGUUCACUUUCUAAUUGUUGAAGAGAGUGCAUAUUUCUCACUGAGCUAGACUCCGCAAAUGUAGGGAAACCGAAUUGCAUAAUCAUCUUUCUAUGUUCUAUAUGUUUUCUAUUUUUCUCAUUUAGUGCCUGGAGAAGUGCCUACCAACUUAGGAACCAAUUUCUUUCUGCUAUUUUGGCUCUUAGCAACAUCCUUUUUCUUGAAUUUGGUACCCUAAGUGUAGUAUAUUCAUUUUGUAUACUUGUAUUUUUUUGAAAAAAUUGGUUUGAUUAAAAUAUUCAUAAAUUACAUUAAUACCCUUGUAUAUUAUCCUCAAUGGCUUUUGUACGAAAAGAAAAAUGAAAUCAAAUAUUAGUUCAUUUAUUACCUAAUGUUUAACUAAUACCAACCGGUAUUACGUGAUCGGAUUGUAAUGCGGAAAGAUAAUUUAUAUUAAUAGAUGAACCUAAACAUGUCAUUAGUCUAAUUGGAAAUAAACAAUGAAAAGCUAAUAUGUUGUCUAUCAAGUCCAAUUGAGGAGAUGUUUUAUCUUGAGCAUCAAAGCAAAUAACUCCUAAAAGAUAGAGACAUAGAUAUGACUCAUUAGACUGACAAUACAUUGGAUGUAACACCCCAAAACCCGACUGUAACACCCCUAACCCAUAUCCGUCGCCAGAAUAGGGUUACGAGGCAUUACCGGAUAAUACACAUCAUUCACAUACAUUUAUGCAUUCAUAAUUAAUAUCCAUUCAACUCAUCCAUAUUGUCCCUUAUAAGAUCCUACGAGACCUUAAAACAUGCUUAAAAGUAGUUCAGGACUAAACCGAUAACAUUUGCAAACUUUAGGAAACCUAUAAAAUUUUCAAUCAUUUAAAGGUCACACGCCUAUGUGAACAGGCCGUGUGCCUCUCACGGCUACCAGACACGCCCGUGUCACAGAUCGUGUGAAAAUAGGGCAUACAUUCUGACUUGCACCACACGGCCAAAAACACGCCCGUGUGCCAGACCGUGUGAAUACUAGAGGGGUUACUAACUUGGGUCACACGGCCGACCACACGCCCAUGUUCCAGCCCGUAUGUCACACAAGGCCAGUAGACACGUCUGUGUGUCUAGGCCAUGUCAAACCUAUAGGUUAUACUAACUUAAUUUGAAAGGGUACCUCAGGGGACACACGGCCGUGUAGCAUGACCGUAUGUCGCACACGGCUGAGAGACACGCCCGUGUCUCUGCCCAUGUGGACAAAAAUAGGCUAUUUGCAAAGCCAAUUUUCCACCCUUUUCUCAAGCACACCAAGCAACCAAUAUGGUACCAUUUCAAUACAUUUAUAGGCAGCCAAAACAUGCCAAUUCAUAUACAUUUCAUGCCAUUUAUAAACCAUUCUCUUAAAUACUUAAAUCCAUAACCAAAACAUACCAAAUUAAUAUGCCAAAAUCAUCAAACUUACAUAAUUUCUAAAUGCAUUUCCUCAUCAUCUUAUCAUCUAUUUCAUGCUUCAAAUCAAACCAUUUCAUCAUCUCAAAACCAAGCCACAACAUAUUAUCAUUCAAGCAUUAACUCACCAAGUGACAACUAGUUACUUGAGCAACCAUAUAACCAUACCAAACAAACCAAAACAUAUGAUAACUUAUACAUCAUGAAUUACUUACCAAACACCUAAUUCAAGCAACCUUAAAUGGCCAUACACACCAACAUUUACAUCAUUUCACAAGCCAUUACAAAUGGCUAAUAUCAUAUCUCAAAACUUAUCAUCAAACUACUAGCCUAUACAUGCCAUAUACCAUAUUUAGAAAGCUUCAAAAGCACCAACAAGAUGAUCGAUAGUGUGAUGACGUUUCCUGACAAUCCCCGAGUCCAAGCUAGCUUCGAUAACCUAUAAACUAGGGAAAGAACACAAAAAGUAAGCUUUAAAAGCUUAGUAAGCCAUAUACAAAUAAAGUCAUCACAUGAAUAUUUGCAUAUCAAUUCAAAUAUGUUAAGCAUAGCUAAACACAUACAAGUUCACAAACCUUUUUCAUUGUACACAUAUUUAAUAUCAUAAUUGAAUUCAUCAAAUACUUCCCUUUUCAAUACUCUAAUAAAUCUCGUACGAACCUGAGUCACUUAACUCAUGCAUACAUUCUUUCUGGACUUGGCUUUGCCUGUUGAACCAUUCGAAAUCGUUAUAUUCAGCAAUCACAUAUAGCUCGUACAAUGCCAUGUCCCAGAUAUGGUCUUACAUGUUAUUACAUAUCGAUGCCACUGUCCCAGACAGGGUCUUACACGAAAUUGAUUAACGAUGCCAAUGUCCUAGACAUGGUCUUACACGUAAUCACAAUACAAUGCCAAUGUCCUAGACAUGGUCCUACAUGUAAUUACAUCUCGGUAACCUAAUGUCAUGACAUUUGUAUCCUAUACUAUUCCUAAGGCUUGUACGGGACUUUCAGAUAUUGUAACUUCGUCGAUUCUUGCUUGUAUUUACUUGUUCAACAUUCAUAGUAGUUCAAGGACAAAUAAACAUAUGUAAUUCAAUUUAAAGACAUUUAUUUGCACAUGAACUUACCUCGUAUAUACACUGAACGGAUCGGAUCGACUACUCAACAACAUUCGAUUUCCCUCGAUCUAAAUCCAAUUUCUUUCGUUCUUGAUCUAUAUACAUUCAAAAUUAACUCAUUUAUUAAUCAAAUCAUUCAAUUUCAUCCAAAAAUACCUAUUUGGGCAUUUUUACACUUUAGCCCCUAAAGCUUCACAUUUAUAUAAUUUAGUCUUUAUUUCACAAAAACACAAAUUACACUAAAUUUGACAAAACCCAUGCUUGGCCGAAUUUACUAUAGAUCCCUGCAGCACUUAACUUUCAUUUAUUCACACUUUUAACCCCCACAUUUUCAUCUUUUCACAAUUUAAUCCCUAAUUUAUGUUUUCUUAAAAAAAUCACUUGACAAAACAUAUUAAUCUAUCAAUAAUUAUUAAUUUUCCAUCAUCAACAUUCAAAAAUAUCAAGCUAUCAUCAAUGGAAACUCAAAAAUUCAUCAACCAAUAAAGAAAUUAGGGUACGGGCUAGCUAGUUCUCAAAGAACCGAUCAAAAAAACUUAAAAAUCAUCAAAAACUGAGCUAAAAUCGUACCUUAAUCAAUAAAAGAGUUUGCCGAACCCUAUAUGAGUGUAAAAGCUUUUUCUUCUUCUUUAAUUUCGGUUAAAAGAUAAUGAUAACACAGAAUUUUGGUUUUGGUUUUAUUUAUGUUAAGUUUAUUUAACAAAUUACAUAUUUAACCUUAACUAAACCAUUUAGAAUCAUCAUAAUAUAUGCCCAUUUAUGACCAUUCCCACUAUCAAUGGUCUAUUCACAACAUAAACACCUUUAAUUUAACUUAUAGCAUGCUACUUUUGCAUUUGAUGCGAUUUAAUCCUUUCGUCAAAUUAAGCACUCAAACACUAAAAUUAUUUUACGAAAUUUUCACACAAACAUAUUUACAUGCUAUAAACAGCAAAAACAACAUUAAAAUAAUUUUCUGAUGACGGAUUUUUGGUUACAAAACCACUGUUCCAGUUUAGCUAAAAUCAGCCUAUUACAACUUUCCCCCCUUAAGGAUUUUCGUCCCCAAAAAUCAUGUGAAUAGGUUUGGAUAUUGUUCUCUCAUAGCAUCCUCGGGUUCCCACGUAGCUUCUUCAAUCCCGUGUCGAUGCCAUAAUACUUUCACUAAUGCAAUUUUCUUAUUUCUCAGUUCUUUGAUCUCACGAGCUAGAAUCUGAAUUGGUUCUUCACUAUACCACAUAUCUGAUUGAAUUUCAACCUCAGUCGGGGAAUUUACAUGUGAAGGGUCAGAUCAAUAACACCGAAGCAUCGAUACAUAAAAAACGUCAUGAAUCUUCUCUAACUCGAUCGGUAAAACUAACCGAUAUGCCACUAGACCUAUUCUUUCAAUGAUCUCAUACGGCUUAAUGAAUCCCGGACUCAAUUUGCCUUUACGACCGAAUUGAAGUAUUUUCUUCCAUGAAGACACUUUCAAAAACACUUUCUCCUCGGUCUGAAACUCAAUAUCUUUCCGUUUCAAAUCUACGUAUGAUUUUUGACGAUCUGACACUGUUUUUAGACUAUCACGAAUUACUUUCACUUUCUAUUCAGUCUCUUUAAUCAAAUUGACCCCAUGAAUCUUAUUCUCACUUAGCUCGAUCCAGUACAACAGUGUUCAACACUUUCGACCGUAUAAAGCUUGUACGGUGCCAUUUUAAUACUCGAUUGGAAACUAUUGUUAUAUGUGAAUUCAACCAAUGACUAAUACUUUUCCCACGUACCUUCGAACUCAAGAAUACAACAUUUCAACAUAUCCUCGAGUAUUUGUAUAACUCGCUGGGAUUGACCAUCUGUCUGUAGGUGAAAUGCAGUACUAAAAUAUAAUUUUGUACCCAGCACAUCUUGCAGUUUCUUCCAAAACCUCAAUGUUAACCUCGGGUCUCUAUCCGAAACAACAGAAAUAGGUACUCUAUGUAAUCUCACAACCUCGGAGAUAUACAACUCAGCUAACUUUUUUAACGAAUAGUACGUUUGUACCAGAAUGAAAUGAGUCGAUUUUGUUAAUUUGUCAACUAUAACCCAGAUCGCAUCUUUCUUUCUCGGAGAUAGGGGCAAUCUCGACACAAAAUCCAUAGUCACUCUAUCUCAUUUCCACUCGAGAAUCAUAGUCGGCUGCAAUAAAUCAGACAGUACCUGAUUCUCAGCUUUAACUUGCUGACAAAUCAAACAUUUAGAAAUAAACUCUGAAAUAUAUCAUUUCAUACCAUGCCUCUAAUAAAACUAUUUUAAGUUGUUAUACAUUUUUGUACUUCCUGGAUGAACAAAAUAACGACUAUUAUGUGCUUUGUUCAAAAUCAUCUGAAUCAACCCUGAAUUUCUUGGAACACAUAUUCGGUCUCUGAACCUUAAACAAUCAUCAGCAUCAACUUGAAAUUCUGAAUCAGGGUUCGAAUCACAUUGAACUCGUUUGGCUAACAUUUCAUUAUCAACUUUCUGAGCUUCACAAUAUGCUGUAAAACAACGGUCUCGCUUUCAACUCAGCUAAAAUUGAGUCGUCUUCAGAUAGAGCCAACUGAGUAUUCAUUGCACAAAGAGCAAACAAAGAUUUCCUGCUUAAUGCAUCAGCAACAACAUUUGUUUUUCCCAGAUGGUAGUCAAUCACUAGCUCAUAAUCUUUUAGUAAUUCUAACCAUCUUCUCUGUCGUAAAUUCAAAUCUUUCUAAGUCUUCAGAUAUUUCAAACUCUUGUGAUCUAAAUAAACAUAACAUUUCUAACCAAACAGAUAAUGGUGUCAAAUCUUCAACGCAAACACAAUAGCUGCUAACUCCAAAUCGUGCAUCGGGUAAUUCUUUUUAUGCAGUUUCAACUGUCUCGAGGCAUAAGCUAUGACUUUGUCUUCCUAUAUCAAAACCCAGCCCAAACCAUUAACAAUGCAUCACUAUAGAUCACAAACUCUCUACCCGAUUCUAGCUAUACUAACACUGGAGCUUUAAUCAAAAGAGCUUUCAGUUCAUCAAAACUUUUCUAACAUUUCUCAAACCAUUCAAACUUUACAUCUCUUUAAAGCAAUCUCGUCAACAGAGUAACAAUCAUUGAAAAGCAUUUCACAAAUCGUCUAUAAUAUCCUGCUAGUCCCAGAAAACUGCGGACCUCAGAAACAUUUCUUGGAGGCUUCCAAUCUAUUAUUGCAGAAAUCUUACUCGGAUCGACUUGGAUACCCGCGGCUGACACUAUAUGACCCAGAAAACCAACCUCACAUAACCAGAAUUCACAUUUGCUGAACUUUGAAUAUAAUUGCAUAUCACGCAGAGUCUGCAAUACAAUUCUCAAAUGCUCGGCAUGUUCAUUUUCAUCUCGUGAGUAAAAUGUCAUCAAUGAAUACAACUACAAAUUGAUCUAGGUAAGGUCUGAAAAUCCAGUUCAUUAAGUCCAUAAAGACAGCAGGUGCAUUUUUUAGUCCAAAAGGCAUAACAAAGAAUUCAUAAUGACCAUACCUCGUUCUAAAUGCGGUCUUUAGCACAUCAAAAUCUUUAACUCGCAACUGAUAAUAGCCCGAUCUCAAAUCUAUCUUUGAAAACAUUGUUUCCCCUUUUAACUGAUCAAACAAAUCAUCUAUUUUGGGUAAAGGAUAUUUAUUCUUUAUCGUCACUUUGUUAAGUUGUCGGUAGUCUAUACAUAUUCUCAUCGUGCCAUCUUUCUUUUUCACAAAUAAUAAGGGAACUCUCCAGGGCGAGAAACUCGGUUGUGCAAAUCCUCUAUCUAUUAACUCUUGCAACUGAGAUUUCAAUUCUUUUAACUCUGUCGGAGCCAUUCUGUAUAGAGCUAUCGAUAUAGGAGUCAUUCCCGGCACUAAUUCAAUACCAAAUUUAACUUUUCGAAUAGGUGGUAAUCCCAGCAGUUCUUCAGGAAACACAUCCAGAUAUUCAUGCACAACUGGUACUGAUUCAAUCUUCUUUUCAGUCACUUUCGUAUCAAGCACAUAAGCAAAAUAAGCUUCGUAACCCUUUCUCACAUAUAUCUGAGCUAACAUUGAUGAAAUCACUGCUGGUAAACCGUUCAAAUCAUCUAACUCAAUCCGGAUAAUCUCAUUAUUCUAACAUCUCAGAUCAAUCGUCUUUCGCUUACAAUUCACAAUAGCAUCAUGCAACGUUAGCCAAUCCAUACCCAGAAUUAUAUCAAAUUCAUCAAAUGCUAACAACAUCAGAUCAGCCGAAAAACAGAAAACUUGAAUCAUUAAUGGACAGUUCUUGCACACUUUAUCAACCAACACACUUGCCUAAAGGUUUCGAUACUCUAAUUACAAAUUCAGUAGACUCUACAGGCAAAGUCUUACUGGAUACUAAAUUCACACAUAUAUACGAAUGAGUUGAUCCUCGAUCUAUCAAUACAAUAACUUUAGUAUCAUAGAGAGUAAAAGUACCAGUAAUAACAUCUAGAGAUGACACUUCUUCGCGAGCACGAACAGCGUAAGCUCGUGCAGGUGCUCUGGCUUCAGACUUUACAGCAGAGUCUUUGGUCGUUCUUUGACUACCACUCACAUUAACAACAUUUCUAGUUGCUCUACCUCUAGCUACAGUGUUACUAAGCCUCGUGUUUUGUACUGUAUCUUGCUCAUCUAACUCAGGACAGUUACGAAUAAAAUGAUCUAAUGAUCCGCAUUUAAAACUGGCCCGAUCAUUCAAUCUACAAUCACCGAUAUAACGUUUUCCACAAUGUUUACACUCAGGUAGGUUUUGUCUCACACUACCAACACUAGCAAUAGAAGUAGCUUGAGCUUUAGAACUCACAGGUUACUUUUCACAAUCCCUAUUUGAAUGUCCCACAGAUGCAUUAGAACGAUUAAACGAGUCUCGAAAUUUCUUCAAUGCAGACUGAUAAGAUUUACUAGUUGAUCUCAUUCAUGAAUCUCUUGCUUCAAAAUCAGCUUUUCUCUUUUCUUUAUUGAGAUCCUCUGUUUAACAAGCCCUUUCAACCAAAACAAUGAAUUCUUUCAAUUUAAAAAUCCCGACUAACAAUUUUAUAUCCUCGUUCAGUCCAUCAAUGAACCUUUUACAUGUACGAAUUCUCUUUCAUACUCAGUGACAGUCAUCUGACCUUGUUUCAAUUCUAGAAACUCUUUAUGCUUCUGAUUGAGGAAUUGCUGACUUAUAUACUUUUUUCAGAACUCGGAUUGGAAGAACUCCCAAGUAACCCGUUCUCUAGGAACCACAGAUGUCAACGUUUUCCACUAGUGGUAUGCAUUAUCUCUAAAUAAAGAUACCACACAUUUGAUACAUUCUUCAGUAGUACAGGAAAAUUCAUCGAAUACUCAGAUAGUACUCUCGAGCCAAAACUCUCUCAGCAUCAUUAUCAACGGUAGACCUGAACUCCUCAGCGCCAUGUUUACGUAUCUUAUCUACUGGCAGCUUACUCAACCGAAUCGGAUCUAUCACUUGUGGCACAGUUAGGAUUUGUUGAGGAAUAGGCGAGAGUGGAGGUUGUUAAGCAGCCGGGUUCGUUCGAACGAACUCCGUGAACCACUUACUCAUCAAUUGGAAGAAGGCUUGCUUAGCCUCUCCCCCAUGACUACUUGAAAUGGGCCGAGAAUCAGCCGGCGCUGCUCCUUGAACGGGAGCGGGCGCAUUACUUUCCACAUUGUCAGCUAAAACUCAAUCAGGAUAUAUUACUAUACAAAAAACACAUUUUAACAGUUAGGAAUCAUCACACUAUCGUUAUUUAUAUAUAUGGCAUGUAUAGCUAGACUCUCACACGCUACGUUAGUCCUAGAAUCGACUAAACCAUAGCUCUAAUACCAAUAAAAUAUAACACCUCUAACCCGUAUCCAUCGCCGGAAUAGGGUUACGAGGCAUUAUCGGAUAAUGCACAACAUUCACAUACAUUUAUGCAUUCAUAAUUAAUAUCUAUUCAACUCAUCCACAUUAUCCCUUAUAAGAUCCCACGAGACCUUAAAACAUGCUUAAAAGUGGUUCAGGACUAAACGGAUAACAUUUGCAAACUUUAGGAAACUUAUAAAAUUUUCGAUCAUUUAAGGGUCACACACCCGUAUGAAUGGGUCGUGUGCCUCACAUGCCUACCAAACACGCUCGUGUAACAGACCGUGUGAAAACAGAGCAUACAUUCUAAUUUGCACCACACGGCCCAGGACAUGCCCGUAUGCCAGACUGUGUGAAAAUUAGAGGUCUUACUGACUUGGGUCACACGGUCGGCCACACGCCCAUGUGCCAGUUCGUAUGUCACACAAGGUCAGUAGACACGCCCGUGUGUCUAGGCCAUGUCAAACCUGUAGCAUAUACUGACUUAAAUCAAAAGGGUACCCCCAGGGACACACGGCCGUGUAGCAUGACCGUGUGUCGCACACAGCUAAGACACAUGCCCGUGUCUCUACCAGUAUGAACAAAAAUAGGCUAUUUGCAAAGCCAAUUUGCCACCCUUUUCUCAAGCACACCUAGCAACCAAUAUGGUACCAUUUCCAUACAUUUAUAGGCAGCCAAAACAUGCUAAUUCAUACACAUUUCAUGCCAUUUACAAACUAUUCUCUUAACUACUCAAAUCCAUAACGAAAACAUACCAAAUCAAUAUGCCAAAAUCAUCAAACUUACAUAAUUUCUAAAUGUAUUUCCUCAUCAUCUUAUCAUCUAUAUCAUGCUUCAAACCAUACCAUUUCAUCAUCUCAAAACCAAACCACAACAUAUCAUCAUUCAAGCAUUAACUCACCAAGUGACAACUAGUUACUUGAACAACCAUAUAACCAUACCAGACAAAACAAAACAUAUGACAACUUAUACAUCAUGAAUUACUUACCAAACACCUAAUUCAAGCCAACUCGAAUGGCCAUACACACCAACAUUUACAUUAUUUCACAAGUCAUUACGAAUGGCUAAUAUCAUAUCUCAAAACUUAUCAUCAAACUACUAGCCUAUACAUGUCAUAUACCAUAUUUACAAAGCUUCAAAAGUACCAACAAGAUGAUCGAUAGUGUGAUGACGUUUCCUAAUGAUCCCCAAGUCCAAGCUAGCUUCGAUAAUCUAUAAAAUAAGGAAAGAACACACAAAGUAAGCUUUAAAAGCUUAGUACAUAUACAAAUAAAGUCAUCACAUGAAUAUUAGCAUAUCAAUUCAAAUAUUUUAAGCAUAUCUAAACACAUACAAGUUCACAAAUCUUUCUCAUUGUACACAUAUUCAAUAUCAUAAUUGAAUUCAUCAAAUACUUUCCUUUUCAAUACUCUAAUGAAUCUCAUACGUCCUCAGUCACUUAACUCGUUCACAUAUUCUUUCUCGACUUGACUUUUCCCGUUGAACCAUUCGAAAUCAUUAAGGAUACUCGGCAAUCACAUAUAGCUCGUACAACGCCAUGUUCCGAAUAUGGUCUUACAUGUUAUUACAUAUCGAUGCCACAAUCCCAGACAUGGUCUUACACGAAAUCACAAUACAAUGCUAAUGUCCCAGACAUGGUCUUACAUGUAAUCAUAUCUCGAUAACCUAAUGUCAUGACAUUUGUAUCCUAUACUAUUCCUAAGGUUCAUACGAAACUUUCGGAUAUCGUAACUUUGUCGAUUCUUUCUCGUAUUUACUCAUUCAACAUUCAUAACAGUUCAAGGACAAAUAAACAUAUAAUUCAAUUUAAAGACAUUUAUUUGCAUAUGAACUUACCUCGUAUAUACACUGAACGAAUCGGAUCGACUACUCGACAACAUUCGAUUUCCCCCAAUCUAAAUUUGAUUUCAUUCGCUCUUGAUCUAUAUACUUUUAAAAUUAACUCAUUUAUUCAUCAAAUCAUUCAAUUUAAUCCAAAAACACCUAUUUGGGCAUUUUUACACUUUAGCCCCUAAAGUUUCACAUUAUUCAAUUUAGUCUUUAUUUCACAAAAACAUAAAUUACACCAAAUUUGACAAAACCCAUGCUUGGCCGAAUUUACUAUAGAUCCCUAGCAGCCCAUAACUUUUAUUUAUUCACACUUUUAACCCCACAUUUUUAUCUUUUCACAAUUUAAUCCCUAAUUUGUAUUUUCUUAAAAAAAUCAGUUAACAAAACAUAUUAAUCUAUUAAUAAUUAUUCAUUUUCCAUCAUUAACAUUCAAAAAUAUCAAGCUAUCAUCAAUGGAAACUCACAAAUUCAUCAACCAAUAAAGAAAUUAGGGUACGGGCUAGCUAGUACUCAAAGCAACGAUCACAAAAACGUAGAAAUCAUAAAAAACCAAACUAAAAUCGUACCUUAAUCAAGAAAAGAGUUGGUCGAACCCUAUAUGAGUGUAAAAGCUUCUUUUUCUUCUUUAAUUUCGGUUAAAAGAUGAUGAUAACACAUAAUUUUGGUUUUGGUUUUAUUUAUGUUAAGUUUAUUUAACAAAUUACAUAUUUAACCUUAACUAAACCAUUUAAAAUCAUCAUAAUAUAUGCCCAUUUAUGACCAUUCCCACUAUCAAUGGUCUAUUCACAACAUACGUACCUUUGGUUUAAUAAACAACAACAAAUAGACACUCUUAACUUAUAGCAUGCUACUUUUGCAUUUGACGCGAUUUAGUCCUUUCGUCAAAUUAAGCACUCAAACGCUAAAAUUAUUUUACGAAAUUUUCACACAAACAUAUUCAUAUUGUAUAAAGACAAAAAAUAAAAUUAAAAUAAUUUUCUGACAUCAAAUUUGUGGUUCCAAAACCACUGUUCUGAUUUAGCUAAAACUGGACUGUUACACCAGCCUAAAAGUUUGGACCAAAUCUUGGAGGUUACAUUGGCCACUUUGCAGAAACAAAAACUUUAAUUCAAAUCAAGAAAAAAAUUUUGUUCGUUAUGUUUGACAAUAUUAAACUGGCGUCAAAUAUUCAGAAAUAAAAUCCUCAGUUUCUAAAGUUCAGUCCAACUAAACCUUACGAAAGUCCAACAUAAAAACUUGUACCACAAUUUAUAUAAUCAUUUUCCAAACCAACUUAAAAUUAACAAUAUAAAACUUAUGAGAUUUUACUUAAACCGAAUCAAACCGUAUCUUUCUGAGACCUCCAGUAUACCGAGUCCAACUCUAAAGCACCAAAAGUACCUAAAAGGAAAGACACUGCAGAGAUAAGCUACGCGAGCUCAGUGUGAGUCUGAAACAUGAACAGAUGGCAAAAGAUGAAGUGACACAAUAAAUACUUCAAACAUGCAUAUGCAUAAAAAUAUCACUUAUGAAAGUCUCAAUCAGUAUGUCAAAAUACAAUAUCAAACCAUAGAAAUGAUUUUCCAGUCAUACGUAAUAAUCAGAUCAUAUUACAUGACAUUAACUCUAUUGUCAAUAACCAGAAGUUCACACAAACAGACAAAAUAUUCUAACAAACAGACGUAUAUUUAGAUGCGAAUAGAUGCACAAGUCAAAAUCCCACCCACCAACCACACACCACUUUGUCCAUCCAGCACACCACAUAAGGGCUAUGGUAGGCCCGUCCACCAUGCACACUAUAUAGAACCAUAAUAGGUUCAUCCACCCAACACACCACAACGUGGAACUAUGCCACUUGAGUAACUGUAUACAGCUGAGCUGAUAUACAUAUAGGAUAGUGAGGUAAAUCGCUGUACAAAAGUAUCGCAAUUAAAUCUGCUAAGUCUAUCUUUCUUCUCUUUAUAGCCAGAUCCCAAAAUUUUCAUGCUAUGUAACAAUGCACAUAUUAUGCAGACAAUUUACAAAAAACGGACAUUAACAUUUUCCAGUUGAACAAAUUCAGAUUUGAUCACACUUGUAUUCUAAUAUUCAGUUACGACAACAAUAAUAAACUCAAUAAAAUUAAAGCCCAUAAACGCAUAUAUAUACACAAACUAAACUAAACUGAGUCUUAAACACACUUACCGAGGCUUGACUGAGGGUCGAAUUACACAGAAACAUAAAAUAGACAGUUUAUAACUCAAAACAAAAAUUCUGCAAAAUAGGGCCACAUGGCCGUGUGGAAGUGCCCAAGCCGUGUGGGGGUCUACACGCCUAUGUGGAGGCCACACACACCUGUGUGGAGGGGACACAUGCACAUGUAAGCAGCCCGUGUAACUCACUGUCCAAAAAUGCCAAAAAUAAAGAGCAGAGGGGACACGACCGUGUAGAGAUCUCACACGCCCGUGUGGGUGCACAUGCCGGUGUGGCCAGGUCGUGUGGCACUAAAAUUUUCCCAAAAACCCUUAUUCUCAAUUUCACACAGUCAUGUGAGCCACCCAUGUGGGGCACACGCCCGUGUGGCCACCCAUGUGGUCACAAUUCCACACCAAAACAGCCACAAAUUCAUGCUUUUGAUGUCGAAACAAUCCUCAACCCUUGGCAACCCAGAAUUAUGCCAAAACAUAUGGAAUUUCAUGCAAUUCAGAAACAACAUAAUACUUCAAAUAACCAAUGUCAUAAACACACAAGAUGUUAUCAAAUUUCACCGCAAUUUUAUACCGAAGUUAAACCGUUUCAGAACACACACCUUAGAACGCGAUAUCAAGCAGCACCUUUGAUAAAACGAAACGCACAAGGACGAUCUCCUUUGACAGAACGAUAAAUAAAUUGCGUAAAACAGAAGAAGCAAAAACAAACACAAUUAAAAUUGGAAAGGGUAGAAAAAAAGAACGAUGGGAAAGGAAAAAUAAAAAGUAACAGAUGAAGAACGUAAACUUAUUUUCUAUUCUAAAAAAAAAUUCUUUUUUUUAAAGUAAAAUAAAAUAACGUAAAAAAAAUAAAUAUCAAAACACUCACAAAGAUUCGAACACGAAACCCAUAAAUACACUAACACACAACUAACCACCAGACCAACAAGCCCAUUCUGACAUUAAAAUGUGAAAUUGAACCCAAAUGCUCAACCCACUCACUAACCUUAACCACAAACCUCAAAAUUUCUUACCUCAAAUUCCGGGAUGUUACAUUGGACAUGACCCAAAUAGAAUAGAUCCUAAAUUUGUUUAUGAUUUUAUUCACUUGUGACAUUUAUAGCGUGGUCUUCCUUAAUCUUGAGUGGAUGAUGGACUAUGUAUGUAUGACUCGUAUACUUUGAUGUAAGUAAAAGCCUAAGUUCAAAUAGAUAAAGAACCAAAAGCUGAUGCAUUGGGUAUACGACUUUUGUAGUAUGUACCAUCAUUCACAAUAGUGAAAUUUGUAACUCAACUAAUAGGUGAAUGAUAUCCUCUCAUCGGCAUUACAUAAUAGAUGAAAAGUAAACUCGGAGAUCCAAAGUAAGUGUCACUAAGAUCUAAAUAUAGAAGGUUUAUCAACAUCAAGACCCCCUGUGCUCAAAGUUGGAAAUUAUACCUACUAAAAAACACAUAUGAAGAUCUAUAUAAAGUCAAUUGAUGAGGAAGCACGGCAUGUUAUGUUAACCGGAUAGGAGGCACCGAAAAUGGAAAGUGACAAUAGAAGAGUUACUAAGCCUUAAAUAUAUUGGAUCAUAGAGGAAGAGAAGCAAAUAAAUAUCAAUUCAAAAGUAUUAUAUGCAAUUUUUUGUAGGGUAGAUAAGAAGGAAUUCAAAAAUUAAAGAAAUUUAUGCUUUUAGAAGUUAAAUAUGGAAUGUGAUAAUGGUAAUUCAAUUUGUUUAGUCUAUCGUACCAUUUAUAUAGGAAUGUAGCCAUAAAUUGAUUUUAUAAAAAAACAUUAGAGAAAUUUACGCUAUUAAAAUAGAAACAAUUAGUUAAUUAUAUCAAAUCAUACUAAUAAUUUACAAAUAUAUAUAUCAUUUGAAAUAUGAAACAUUAAAUAUAUAAUUUUUUGAGAACAUUAAAUACAUAUUUAAAAUAUGAAACUGUAUGUUCAUUUCAUAUUAGUAAAGUGAUGAAAGCCAUUGUUUUCAUCAAGAAAAUAAAAAUACAAAAAUGAAAAUAUUUAAAAAUUGUAUGUAUAAUUAAUGCAUAUUUAAUUAUAACGUAUGUCUAUAUAUUUUUUAAAAUAAUUUUUUUAUAAAUUCUGAUAAUAUUUGCUCUUUUUGAUAUAAUGUCUAGAACUACCCAUAAUCUCUCCUUAACCCAUAAAUUGGAAAAUAAUGUGUUUUAACGCACUCAAACCCAUAUCCUUCUAUAUUGAUAAUAAUAUUCAUAUCAAUUAAAUUAAGAUUCAAUCGACUCAUUUCCUUAUUUUUUAUUUUUUCAAGCUGUACAAAAUUUAUGUAUCCUAUUAAUUAUCUGCAAAGUGAAAGAGGAUUAAUUACAUCUAACUGUAUUAUUUUAUCUAGAUUAUUUACCAUUUCAAUUUUGGCAAUUUAAUGAUUGUUUCAAUAUAAUAAUGUAAAUACAUAUUUAAUAAUAAUGUGAGAAUUGUUAUGUAAUGGCUCACUUUUCAGUGGUGAUAGAAACAGGAGUUUUAGGGCUACCAAAUUCGACGAGUAAAUUCGUAAAUAUUAUAAUUUAAUAUUUACGAGUCAAAUGUGAUUUUUAAAAGGGUUUUUGAUUUGAUAAUUUAUGUUAUAUAAGUUAUUUAUUAAGUUCAAGUGGUUUUAGAAAAUGAGAUAUUGGGACCUUAUUUUUAUAAACCAAGCCAUAAAUACUUUUAUAAAUAUUUAUAGAGUGUCAUUAAGGUGGUAUUAAAGUUUUGUUGAAAACUUUUAACUUUUCGAUAGUUAAUUAAUUAAAAAGAACCAAAUUGAAAAAAAAAGUGCAUUCCCGGGACUCCGUUCCCGUAAUCGGACUCGUAAAUAUUUUUAAUAAAUAUUUACUAAGUUAGUUGUGUAGUUAAUUAGAUUUCGGUUAAAUAAAUUUGCAUAAAUUAAGAGUAAUUAGGUAUAAGAAUUAAAUUGCAUAUAGGGUGGAAGUUGAAUUUUAGAUUAAAGAAAAAUUAAAGGGACUAAAGAAGCAAUUAUAUCAUUGUUUCUUUAGUGAGGCGGCAUAAGAUGUAAAAUUAUUAUAUAUUAUUAAUAAAUUAAAGUUAAAAUAUAUAUUAUAAUAUAUUUUACUUAAUACUUAAGUAAAUAUAUAUAAUAUAAUAAUAAUAAUAAUAAUAAAGUAAAUAUAAUAAAACAAAUAAGUAAAUGAAAUAAAGAAAGAUAAAAGCAAAAUCAAAAUUGAGAAAGAAAAAGAAAGAAAAGAAGAAAGAAACAGAUGCAUGGUUUAGGGUUUCAAAAGUUUCCAAGUUCAAUUGGUUAAUCAAUUUAGUCUCUUUUUUUCUUGUAAAUAGUAUGCUUUUGAAAUCUCGGUAUUAAGUAUUACCCGAUCCAUGUCGAAAUCUUAGUAUUGAUUGAGUUUUUAAAUGUUGCUAAUAUUGAAUAAUUUUAGUAAUAGGGAUUAAAUUGAUAGAUUUUUAAGCUAGAAGUGAAAAAGGCUUAAAUUGUAGAAUAAAUUGUAAAUUUUGAGUAAUGUGGACUAAAUUGUGAAAAAAUUGAAAUUUAUGGGUUUAAGUGAAUAUAGGGAGUUAAAUUUAGUUUAAAGUGAAAUUUGUGUAAAAAUAUAAAAUUAAUUGUGAAGAAUAAAAAUUAGUCUCAGUUUAAGGACUAAAUUGAAAUUUAGGCAAAUAUUGAGUCAAAAUUGAAAUAUUCGAUAUGAAAUUAAAUUGCGUUAUAUUGAUGAAUUUUAAUUGUUUUAAUUUCGUAGCUAACAUCGUACGGAAAUCCUCGACUAAAAAGGGGAAAGAUAAAGUCGACGUCGAAUAGCUCAGAAUUCCUAGUUUGUAUUUCUAUAAUCCAAACCUAGUUGUUAAUUAUUGUAUUUUGAUUUAAUGUAUAUGGUAAGUGGUUGAGGUGAGUAUUUGGCACUUUGACUAUUGAAUUGAUUUAAAUUUAAUUGAAUUGGAUUGAAUUGAAUUGAUCUAUAUAUAUAUUAUGAAUAUAUAUACAAAUAUGAUAAUUGGAUAUUAGUUGUAUUUGGAAAAUGAAUUGGAACCCUAUUAACUGUAUCGGGUUGAGUCGGAUAUAAAUGGCAUGUCAUAGGAUAGGAAGAGUUCAGGGAUUUCUUCGACUUUGAGUCGAUGAGGCACUGGGUGCAAAUUUACUUAUGUUUAAUCGAUGAGACACUGGGUGUCAAAUUUAUAUAGCGCUGGGUGCAGAUACUACUUCGGAUUUAUUCGAAGAGGCACUGUGUGUCAAACUGGUGUGUUGGUUGGAUCCGUGUAUCCGUCCGAGUCCGAGUCGUGUUAAUAGGGGUAAAUAAAUAAUAAAUUUCUAUAAUUGAUAUUAAAAUGACAUGGUAUGAGAAAUGGAAAAUGAAUUGAAAAUAAAAUGUGAAAUAUGUUGUAAAUACAUGAAAUAUAUGAGUUAUAUACUCAUGAAGUGAAUAUGAAAUUGAUAAUGCCAUUGUUUAAAUGAAAUGUGAAUGAAAUGUGAAAAGCUAUUUAUAUAGCAGGUAUGAGAAUUGGGAUAUUUGUGAAACAAAUGAAAUAUGAUAUGCUAUUAGGUAUGAAUUCAAAGAGUUGACAUAUGGUAGUCGUGAUUUUUUAAAUAUUAAAUGUGUCUAUAUUUCAAUUAUACAUUUGCAAUCUCUUGUCUUUAAAUACUCGAAUUAUAGAAAUACCAAUGAGUUUUACUCAGCAUACGGUUUUGCUUUCCAUGCACAGGUUAGGUACUUAACUUUUGAACGUUGAUUCAGGAUCCAACAACGAUCCCGAACUCAAAUAUGGUGAUGUUUAUCUUUUGUGUCGGCAAGUACCUAGGGUAUCUAAAUAAUAGUUAAUUCAUAGAUUGAUUGUAAAUGAGGUUAUACGUUUAAUGCUGGUUUGGUAUAUAUAUAAACAUGUGUUUGUUUUUGAAGCCAUAUUAUGGCAUGGUAAAUUGAACCAAAUCUAAACAUGUGCGUGUGAAUUUAAGUUGUUGUUUAAGUGCUUAUGAACUAGGCAAAAUGGAUUGAAUUUGGUUUGUUUAUAAUUUGGAUUUGAAUGAUGCUUUGAUGAUAUGAAUUGAUGAUAUAAAUGUGGUACCAAUAAGGGUACAUUAGUUAGGCACCUAGGAUGAUUGUUUUGGCAUGCUUUGAAUGUGUUUGAUCUGUAAACUUCAGUAAUGCUCCAUAACCAUAUUCCGGCGACAAAUACGGGUUAGGGAUGUUACAUGUUAUACAUUUAAUUAUGCUAGAACUAUUUUCAGUCAUGCAAUUAAGAUGUUAAUUUUGGGAGGGCCAAGUUAAAAUUAGACAUGCUACAUAACAGUCGAUUUAAAUAUAUAAACAAUCAAUUCAAAAGAAGUAGUAUUCCAACAUAACAAUCAAAUUAUACAUAUAAACAAUCGAUUCAAAAGAAGAAGAAACAAUAUUCUAACAUAACAAUCGACUUAAACAUAUAAACAAAUGAUUUUUUAAAGAGCUAUAGUAUAUAUACAAAGGGAGAAAUUGUAAAAAUCUUAAACCUUGGGAGGCUUACUUAUAUUUUUGGGAGGAGCAUAAUAUAUCUACAAAAGACUAAAUUGCAAAAAUUUUAAAUCUUGGAGUACCAUGACCCCCUGGUCCUCUACUAGGCUCCGCUAUUGACUAUUAUUUACCAUAUUUUUAGUGUAUAUACACGAUUAGAUUUGACUAAUAUUACAGUCAUCUAAAAGUUUCAUUAACACUAAAACCAGCCAACAAUUAAGGUAAAAAGAAAUCAAAUUAUGGUAAGUUUAUAAUUAUAUAGACGUUACUGAAAACUGUGACCCACUCUUAAAUACAAAUAAAUUUCUCAUCAAGAUAGCCUUAAAAGAUGAAUUGCCAAGCAUCAAAAUGUUUCAAAUUUCCCUCAUAAAAGAAUUUCCAUUUAUAUAAUUCUCAACAACAACACAACCAUAUUAAUUUUCAUUUGAAGCUCUCUUUUCUGACGAUUCUCUAAAAAAAACCCAAAUAUGAAGAAUUCUCACAUUUCUUCUCUUGUUUUCUUCUACCUUUUGCUUGUCUCAGUGAGCUCCAAUCUUAUUCAAGAAUCUUGCAACAAAGCUGCAAAGCUUGAUCCCCAAACUAUAAAGGUGGACUUUUGUGUAUCAAAAUUUGAAGGGAAUCCCAAAGCCAAAUUAGCUACUACUAUUUCAGAUUUAGUUGAAGUCUCUAUUGAGGCUUCCAUAACUAACGCGACGAGCAUUGGAUCCAAGCUUUUGGAAAGAAAAAGCCUUGAAUCUUUUGAAAGGAACGGCUUGAAAAAUUCCUAUUGGCUUUACUCUCUUGUAGGGACUUGUUUAUAAGGUGCUGAGGAGGUUUUUAAGGCUAAAAAUUAUGCAACUGCUUGUGUAGACAUAGUUGCUUCUAUUGAAGCACCAAUGAAUUGUGAAGACUAGUUCAAGAAGAAGAAAGGGUUCGUGUCACCGUUGACAAAGGAAAACAGUAUAUUCUUUCUGCUAACUAACAUCUCUCAUAUGUUCAUGACCAUAGUCCAAAAAGGAUGAUCAUACUUAUAUGUCUAUCUCUUUCUCUCUCUCUCUCUCUCUCUCUCUAUAUAUAUAUAUAUAUAUAACGUCACUCUAAUAAUUAAGAACAAUUGGUCAUCCAUGUCUCUAUGCAAAAAUCUUAUCUUCAAAUUUUAAUACACUUCAAAUUAUAUUCUGUUAAUUAUAACAUUAAAAUUAUGAUAUUAGUUUAGGAUGCAUUUUGGAUCUUAAUGUAACGCCCCAAAAUUUAUAUUUUUGGUUUUGUUAGUAUAUGACAAAACAGUGUAUUACUUUAGUGGUUAAGUGUUCUGGGAAGUGUUUGAGAAGUCUUGGGUUCGAGCUUUGACUUUGGUGAAUUUUUUUGAUAUUUUUAUGAAUGAAGCCCUAUCUCUAGUCAGUAGGCUCUAAUUAAAGGUUUGUUAAAUUAUAUCAAAAUGGGCUUGUUGGUCUAGUGGUUAAGUGGAGUGUUAAUUUGCUAGUGGUCUUAAGUUCAAAUCUUUGCAAGAGCAAGGGACUUCAUUUGGUGCUAGUACCGUGUAGGAAUUUGAGUUUUAGUAAAAUUCUGAGUAGUGGGGUAAUGGAGUGAAUCAAUGGUAGUUACUGUCAGACUUUUAGUUGUUGGGAAAAUCAUUUCUUUUCUCUCACCUCAAAAAGUCUCUGUCGUUUCUCCUCCUUCUUCCCCAUUUUUUCUACCGAAAAUUCAAUCAUCUUCUUACUCUCUCUUUUGCAGUUUUGUUUCUUAUUGUGCAAUGUUGGAUUGCGCGUGCGUGGUAAGUCUUUCUUUUGGGUAACCUUAAUGCUUUUCCUGAUUAAGUGAUUGAAGAUGAGUUUUGGUGGCAGGAAUCAAUCAAGGGGCUGUGCAUCAGUCUCAAUCACUAUUUUAAAGGUGUGAAAGUGCUGUUUUUAUUUCGAAGGUAAGAGUUGUCGCUCAAAUGGUGAAAAUUUCCGUUUUGGGUUUUGGUUAGUUCGGUUGUUUAAGUGAUUAAUCGAGUGUAUACUAUACAAUUAUAUGUUGGAAUUGCUUUGAGUGAUUUUUACAUCGAAAACAAACCAGGUGUGUACCCAAAAUGCUGAAAACAGGGAUCGACGAAAAGCCAAAAAAGUAUUUUGUCGAUGCUACAUGGCCGACCAUGUGCCCUAACAUGGGCGGUUGGUCGACGAGCCAGGCCGUACGCGCAUGACACGACCGUGUGAUGGUCAGGUAGGCCAUGUGUGACACUUGGGCUCGACCAAUUUGGGCCGUGUAGGCCAAAUGGGCGUGUAGGCCCAUAUGGGUGAACCACACGGGUGUAUGGGAUGUUGGGCCAGGCCGUGUGAUCUAUACGGCUAAGGCUAAUCUGAGUCGUGUAGGCCAUACGGGCGUGUGGGCCCACACGAGCAGAUCACAUCGACAUGUGGGCCCAAUUUACUGAUUUGUUUGCUAAUGUUGCAUGGGUCGCCCGAGUCGGAUGUGAAUCUACUGUGGGGUCGGUAAGCAAUGUUUUGAUCCCUACUUGACUAAAUGAUAUAUGUAUGACUGUUUACUGAGCAUGGUUAGAAUACUGUACUGAUUAUAUGCAUGACACUUUGUGAUAGCAUGCCAUGACUAUAUGUUGCAUUGUAUGGGAAUGGGAUGAUAUAUAUGGAGGAAGUGUAUUGAAAGGCUUUAAGCCUAAUAUACUGGCAGCUCAGCUGCAAAUAACUGUCUAGUGUCACUUCUGGUACUAUUUUGGAGUGUAGGGAUGGGUGGGUUGAUUAUAUCCCCACAUGGAGUGUAGGGUUGGACGAAGAUGGUUUGUAGAGGCUGGCUAGGUAGGACUUUUUUAUUGCAUAAUCUGUUACUGUACUAAUUACUGAUACUGUAAUGGGCCAAUGCCCAAAUGCAUGACUGUUUUUGUACUGAGAUGGGCUAAAUCCCUAACUGAUACUGUCACUGAAACUGAAAAGGGCUUAGGCCCAGACUGAGUUUAUUUUGUAUACUGUUUGUUUGUUUGCAUAGGGAAUUACACACUGAGUUUACAUAAACUCACCCCUUCGCUUAAUCUGUGCAGGUAGUCCCCAGUCUUGACGAAUCGGUACAGCGGAGGACUUGGCGGUGGCCACACGAAUCUAAACUUUUUCUGCAACUUUGGGUAUUUAAUUUUUAAUUAUAUCCUGGGGUAAUUUUUGAUGUAAAUUGCAGACUUUCUGAGACUUUUACUUAAUUUGGGACAUUAUUUAAUUUUUAUGGUUUAUAACUACUAAGAUGUUUAAAAACUCAGUUUUCAAAAAGGCAAAGUUUUCUCUAAACACGUGAUUUACUCAAAACGAAUUUUAAAAGCUUGCGCAAUAAAACGUGUAAAAACGAACGACUAGAUAAGUAACGAUUUUGGGGUUAACAAGUGUAAACAAAUGGAAAAUUAUUUUAUCGUAACAACCUAGUUUCAAACGCUAUCAUGUGACAUCACCAGAUUCAGCCACAAUGUCUAGGCCGGGUUUGGGGUGUUACACUUAAAUUGAUUUACAAAUUAAUAUAUAAAUAUAUCAUUUAAAUAAGAAAUAUUAAGUGAGUGAUGUAUUGUAACAUCUCAUACCUAGUCCAGGCGUUAUGGUUGAAUCUUGAGGAAUUACAUAUAUUCGUUUCAAAAUAAAAAAUUUGAAAUUUGAAAGGGUAACAUAAAACAAAACUUGGUAAUGAUAUUUCCAGUUUUUAGGGAAAAACACCUUAUUCGAAUAAUUCAUUUUAAUUACAGAAAAAAACUUAUAAGAUUACUUAAUUUUAUAACGGAAAUCUUAAAUUAACCAGAGUUUUGAAAACCGUAAUUUGAUUUUGAAAUUCAUCGCAUUGUAGUUUGAAAUAAAAUAAUCAAAAAAAUGAUAAAGUAGUUCAAAGCGAAGAAUAAAAUCCAAAAUAAAUAACAAUCCCCAAAUAGUCCAAAAACUGUCCAAUUGAAAAUAAUAUUUAAACUCAAUAGAAUUCAAAAACAAUAAUUUAAAUCAAACUCUUGCUACAUCAAUCUGUCCUAAGUUUGUUGGUUACCUGGGAGGAAAACAUAUAGAAAGUGAGCUUACAAGUUCCGUGUGUAACACAUCCCAAAUAACAAUCAAAUGCACAUAAAUUAACAAAUACAUUUCAGAUGCAUGAACAGAUUCAAAAUAAGAUGUAUUUUUAUAAUCAGAUACAGAUGCAGAAUCAGAUACAUAUUCAGAUGCAUAAAUAGAUCCUACCCUUAUCCGCUAAAAACCAUCUCCAUCCAUCCCUGCACACCAAAUAGAGUAUUAAAUACCCAUCUAACCCCACACACCAAUUAGUGAGUGUAUGUCACUUUUAAGAAAUAGUGCAGCCAAGUUGCCAGAUAAUAAUACGCGGUAAACCAUUAGAAUCAGAUAUCUAUGGUCAAGUCACCAGAUAAGACAAAUUAUUAAAUUGUCAUCACUUCCUUCAUCAAUCAUAUUCUCACCCCCAAUGCACAUGCAAUUGUAAUCAUAUAUUAAUUGCAUGUAUGACAUACAUGCUAUACACAUCGGAUUUUAAAUCACUUCGGAGAAAUCACAUCAUACUAUUACAUAUGACAUACAAGCUAUACAUAUCAUGCUUUCAGAAAUUUCAUUUUACAGAAAUAGAAUAUCAGAUACCAUGUUUUACAGUCUUAUUUACACAAUAUGGGCCCUACAGAAGAGCUAAAUUCGAAUAGCACAUCAAUGGAAACUUCAGAAAUUUUUAACAGUUUUAAAAACAGGGGUAGGGGUUAGCUAGACCAACAAUCUCAAAAAUAUAAAAAUUAUAAAAAAAAACCAUCAAAAACGACUUACCAAUUGGAGCUUGAAGCUAGACAUGAGCUAAGUCUCCUUCUCCCCCUUUUUGUUUCGAUUAUAAGAUGAAGAAGAUGAAUGAAUUAUCUUUUUUCUUUUGUUUUCUUCAUUUCUUUUCUUAUUUAUUUAACUAUUAUAACAUAUAAUAUAAUGAUUUAUAUUUUAAUAAACGUUACUUUUUAACUAAAUAACCCUGUACAACACUUUUAAAAAUGGUAUAUUUACCAUGCAAGUCCAUUUACUUUCAUUUUCAUAGCCAUUUGACCCCUUUAACUAAUAGAACUCAAUUUUUACAUUUUUUACGAUUUAGUUCUUUUCAUUUAAUUAACCAUUUAAACAUCCAAAUUUAUUAACAAAACUUUAAUACAACCUUAAUAACACUCUGUAAAUAUUUACGACUCAAUUUAUAGAAACGAUGUCCCAAUACCUCAUUUUCUAAAACCACUUGACUUUAAGGUCAUAACACUUGAACCUAAUUAUUCAUUCAAAAAAAAUAAAUUGCCAAUUCAAAUUUUAUUUUAAUACUAUAAUUGACUCAUAAAUAUUAAAUAUUAGCAUUUACGAACUUACUCGUUGGAUUUGUAGCCCUGGAGGCACUGUUUCCGACACCUGUGAAAAAUGAGCUGUUACGUGGAAAACAUUUGAAAAUAAAUGUACUUUUCUCUAAAUGGAAAUGACUUGAAUAAUUAAUUUAUGAUUUUUUGAAUUUAUUAUUUAAUUGGUUAGUUAAAAAAUGAAGUUUAAAAAUGGAAAUAAGUUAAUUGGUCAAAUGAAUUCGUUGUAUGUAGAAAUAUUAAAUAUAUUUUCUUAUAUAUUCUUUUACAGUAAAAUCAUCAUGAUUUUAACGGAAUUAGAAUUGUGUUAAAAAAAUUAUUUAAUUAGGAAAUUAAUUAAUUAAAAUUAAUUUAAUAUAUUUAUUUUGGGAAAUAGAAAAAUAAAUAUCGAGUUAGAUUGAAUUAUAAAUGAAUAAGUUAAAACUAUAAAAAGUAAUUAUAAUUAGACUCAAUAUAUGAGAGGCCCAAAAGCCCCUUAUAUUUAAUGUUAGGGACAACAAAUCUUAGUUUAUUAUUUAACUAAGGUUGCUGACCCACCUAAUCCAAUUUAGACAAGGAGUUCAUUUUUCUGUUGAAAUAAACUUCUACAAUUCAACCAAGGUUUCACCUCUUCUCCCUGUAAAUAGAUGACAUGGGUAGGGUUAUAUACUCAAGUUUGAGAUAUUGUUAUUCUACUCAAAAAUAGUUAGAAUUUAUUUUCUAAGUAUAAAUUCUAUUUUCUGGAAUAAUAAUUCUAUUGGUUUCUAUUUAUUUGAAUUCGUUUGAGCUCACACUCGAAGCUGUUCGUGGUACAAGAAUAGCAGAGAAUGUCGUUCGGUUGAAACCUGUAACGACAAGGAUCCAUUUAGCUGAAGACAUAUGUGCGAUUACGAUAAAGGUUUUAUUGCAAUAUAUAUCACAAAUCAACUCAAUUUUCAAAAUUUUAAUUUUCCGCUAUGCUAAAAGUUCAUUCUCGAAUCAGAAUUUUUCCAACAGAAUGGCCUUUAAUGAUGAUAGGGGACUAGAUUGUAAAAGAAAGAAAAAAAAUUCUUCUCCCUAAAUUCUUGUGACAUGAAAGAGAAAAAGAUGAUGAUGAAGAAUCUUCUCUAUUUUUCCUUUAAAAUAUCAUCAUUAUUAUUACUAUAAAAUAUAAUAAUAGUAAUAUCAGUAAUAAUAAAAUAUAAAAUAAAAUAUUAUAACUUAUUCAUAAAAAUCUUUGUAAUAGGCCCAUUUCGCCCGGGCCCACACAAAAACCAAAAAAACAAAAUAAAUAAAAUCAAAUGUUUUAAUAGUCCCAGUCCAUUUACAUUUAUAGCCCAAUAAACCCCAAAGAGCCUGAGUUAAUUUAAAACCUAAAUAAGUCCAUAUCAAUUAGCCUAAGUACAAAAGCCCAAAAAUAACAGCCCAAAUUUAAACCUUUGGCCCAAGUAAAAUUAACCCAAAAAGGCCCGAUGUCUAAACUCUUUCAGAAACCCUAAGGGUUUCUGAAGUUUCCUCGCUCCGCAAUAGCCUCCAAGCUCCAGCAGCUUGACUCCGGGAUAAGCUCACAGGGCCCAAGCAGGUUGAAGCUUCUGGAAGCCUCUACUACAGUUCCCACGAACAGCCCCACUGCGUCAGCAACACCAUGACCUUCCUCCUGCAACAGAUUAACAAACGAAAACAGCAAACAAGCCAUGGGCAGCAAAUAACAGCAAAUUACAAGAAGGAAAUUUGUAUUUAUUUUAUUUUAUUUUUCAGCUAUAAAGACCGAAUGAAACGAUGUAAAUGGGAUCUUUUUUCACAGAAAUACACACGCAUAUUGAAAGAAAGAAAAAUCAAUUCGAAAUCAAUUUUUAAGGGGAUUUUAGAUCGUUUUCUUCUUUGAUUUUUGUUUUUAUUUCCUCAAUCCGUAUACACGGAUAUUAAAAAAAGACAAAGGAUCCUAGAUCAUUUUUUUAGAAGAAAUCGACAUAGCAAAUACAGAGGAAAAAGAAAGAUCUCUUACCUAUCGAUCUGCGCAGAUCUAGUCGGUGGUUGUUUCACCGGUCCAAAGGUAGAUGGAUCUUGAGGAUUCGACUUAAACCAUGACGGAGUAGGUGUGUUUGGUGCCACCGUCGCACGUAGAUCGAUCGAAGGGAAAGAGGGCAGUAAGAGGAUUGAGGGAAAAUUUUUCUUAAAAAAA